RNAcentral lists this transfer RNA (68 nucleotides) under Moellerella wisconsensis ATCC 35017. It matches the Rfam family "tRNA". From Rfam's summary of the family: Transfer RNA (tRNA) molecules are approximately 80 nucleotides in length. Their secondary structure includes four short double-helical elements and three loops (D, anti-codon, and T loops). Lineage: Bacteria; Pseudomonadati; Pseudomonadota; Gammaproteobacteria; Enterobacterales; Morganellaceae. The record is from Rfam by way of RNAcentral.
GUUAGCUCAGUUGGUAGAGCAGUUGACUUUUAAUCAAUUGGUCGCAGGUUCGAAUCCCGCACGACCCA